RNAcentral lists this ribosomal RNA (433 nucleotides) under uncultured bacterium. RNAcentral's name for it is "partial 16S ribosomal RNA". It matches the Rfam family "Bacterial small subunit ribosomal RNA", at positions 29 to 507 of the family's 1533-position model. The record is from RNAcentral.
AACGAACGCUGGCGGCAUGCCUAACACAUGCAAGUCGAACGAGACCUUCGGGUCUGGUGGCGCACGCGUGCGUAACGCGUGGGAACCUGCCCUUAGGUUCGGAAUAACUCCCCGACAGGGGUGCUAAUACCGGAUAAUGUCUUCUGACCAAAGAUUUAUCGCCCUUGUAUGGGCCCGCGUUGGAUUAGCUAGUGGGUAGGGUAAAAGCCUACCAAGGCGACGUUCCAUAGCUGGUCUGAGAGGAUGGGCAGCCACACUGGGAGUGGGACACGGCCCGGACUCCUACGGGAGGCAGGAGUGGGGAAUAUUGGACUAUGGGCGAAAGGCUGAUCCAGCAAUGCCGCGUGAGUGAUGAAGGCCUUAGGGAUGUAAAGCUCUUUUACCCGGGAUGAUAAUGACAGUACCGGGAGAAUAAGCACCGGCUAACUCCGUG